UGGGGAAUUUUGGACAAUGGGCGAAAGCCUGAUCCAGCAAUGCCGCGUGUGUGAAGAAGCCUUCGGGUUGUAAAGCACUUUUGUCGGAAAGAAAUCCUUGGCUCUAAUACAGUCGGGGGAUGACGGUACCGGAAGAAUAAGCACCGGCUAACUACGUGCCAGCAGCCGCGGUAAUACGUAGGGUGCAAGCGUUAAUCGGAAUUACUGGGCGUAAAGCGUGCGCAGGCGGUUUGCUAAGACCGAUGUGAAAUCCCCGGGCUCAACUGGGAACUGCAUUGGUGACUGGGCAGGCUAGAGUAUGGCAGAGGGGGGUAGAAUUCCACGUGUAGCAGUGAAAUGCGUAGAGAUGUGGAGGAAUACGAUGGCGAAGGCAGCCCCCCUGGGGCCAAAUACUGACGCUCAUGCACGAAAGCGUGGGGAGCAAACAGGAUUAGAUACCCUGGUAGUCCACGCCCUAAACGAUGUCAACUAGUUGUUGGGGAUUCAUUUCCUAGUAACGUAGCUAACGCGUGAAGUUGACCGCUGGGGAGUACGGUCGCAAGAUU
Molecule: ribosomal RNA, 545 nt
Filed under: uncultured bacterium
Lineage: Bacteria
Description: partial 16S ribosomal RNA
Rfam family: Bacterial small subunit ribosomal RNA
Source: RNAcentral